Molecule: long non-coding RNA, 669 nt
Organism: Bolinopsis microptera
Lineage: Eukaryota; Metazoa; Ctenophora; Tentaculata; Lobata; Bolinopsidae
Exons: 2
Source: RefSeq, a predicted model, not a curated record
GUUUCUUUUGGACCACUAUCUCAUCUGACAAUCACCCGAGGAUACCUGCCAGAGCUCGCAAUUUACGACGAGUUAGCUUAUGGCACCUCUGGCUGUUAAGUGAAGUCAUAAAGCUCAAACAGCUCUCAUCUCCCAUUCUCUCUUCCUAGACAGCAGACCUGGGAGAAACUCCUUCUAGCCGGACGUCACGCGUGAUGUACGAGAAACUACGGACAGGGUACUCCUACUUGCGUGCGAAAGACAAAGGCAGCAAGAAUCGAAGAACAGAACCCCGACCACACUGCUUGUGAGAAAUGAGCAGCUCUUGAUCUAGGACAAAAAACUUUCUUCUGUUUAAUAUCUAAAACGUGUUACGUGUGAUAUUACACCAACUUUUGAUUAAUAAUACGAAACUUUAUACCUUAUAAAGUAUGAUAUUUAAACACGAAAAUUUACAUUCUGAAAUUGGUAUAGUGUUCCUUUAACUGUUCCUUCAACUUUCAUCGUAGCUUUUUUCAAAAUAUUCUUCAGUGCCAUCAACAAACAGAUUUUUUCAUUUGACUGAACUGUGCCAUAUUUGAUAUUGCCUCUGUAUUUUAUAGGGAAAAUUUUUUAAAUCUUGCAAGUUGAUGUAAUUAAGUUUUAAGUUAACGUAUUAUAGAUAUGUUAACACUAGUUUAUGUUUCAGUA